GAUGAACGCUGGCGGCGUGCCUAAUACAUGCAAGUCGAGCGAACAGACGAGGAGCUUGCUCCUCUGACGUUAGCGGCGGACGGGUGAGUAACACGUGGAUAACCUACCUAUAAGACUGGGAUAACUUCGGGAAACCGGAGCUAAUACCGGAUAACAUGUUGAACCGCACGGUUCAACAGUGAAAGACGGUCUUGCUGUCGCUUAUAGAUGGAUCCGCGCCGCAUUAGCUAGUUGGUAAGGUAACGGCUUACCAAGGCAACGAUGCGUAGCCGACCUGAGAGGGUGAUCGGCCACACUGGAACUGGGACACGGUCCAGACUCCUACGGGAGGCAGCAGUAGGGAAUCUUCCGCAAUGGGCGAAAGCCUGACGGAGCAACGCCGCGUGAGUGAAGAAGGUCUUCGGAUCGUAAAACUCUGUUAUUAGGGAAGAACAAAUGUGUAAGUAACUAUGCACGUCUUGACGGUACCUAAUCAGAAAGCCACGGCUAACUACGUG
This 497-nucleotide ribosomal RNA is filed under the name uncultured bacterium. RNAcentral describes it as "partial 16S ribosomal RNA". It matches the Rfam family "Bacterial small subunit ribosomal RNA", at positions 28 to 507 of the family's 1533-position model. The record is from RNAcentral.